CCUACGGGAGGCAGCAGUGAGGAAUAUUGGUCAAUGGACGAGAGUCUGCACCAGCCAAGUAGCGUGAAGGAUGACUGCCCUAUGGGUUGUAAACUUCUUUUAUAUGGGAAUAAAACAGGGUAUGCAUACCCUCUUGUAUGUACCAUAUUAAUAAGGAUCGGCUAACUCCGUGCUAACAGCCGCGGUAAUACGGAGGAUCCGAGCGUUAUCCGGAUUUAUUGGGUUUAAGGGGAGCGUAGGUUGGUUGUUAGUUAAGUUGUGAAAGUUUGCGGCUCAACCGUAAAAUUGCAGUUGAAACUGGCAGUCGUGAGUACAGUAGAGGUGGGCGGAAUGCGUGGUGUAGCGGUGAAAUGCUUAGAUAUCACGAAGAACUCCGAUUGCGAAGGCAGCUCACUGGACUGCAACUGACACUGAUGCUCGAAAGUGUGGGUAUCAAACAGGAUUAGAUACCCUUGUAGUC
RNAcentral lists this ribosomal RNA (460 nucleotides) under uncultured bacterium. RNAcentral describes it as "partial 16S ribosomal RNA". It matches the Rfam family "Bacterial small subunit ribosomal RNA", at positions 338 to 795 of the family's 1533-position model. The record is from RNAcentral.